CUGAACUGUUCCACAAAGUACAAGAGGCAUGUCUAUGUUUUCAGCAUGUGCAUGAUCAGUUACUGUAUACGAUAAGUUUAUAUGUUUUUGUAACUACAAAUAACUAUAAUAGAAAUAACUAUAAUAAAUAGAAAUAAAUUUGUUACUUUUUAAUAAUUAACAAAAUGUAUUCCCGUACCUAUACUGAAGAAAGUAGCUACAUGGUAUUAAUAAUUGUUUAGCAUUUUAGACUGAAAUAAUGUCUCAGUGUUCUUUUUAAUUACAAAAAUAGGUAAAUUAUGAUUUACCUAUGGGUUGAGCAUUAAAGUUCAAAACUUUUAAUGCCAAGAAAACCUAAAAGUUGUGAUUGGUAUCUUCUAAUUGUGCUUUGAUGUCAACAUUCAAAUGGAUAAGUUAAUGAUACUUUUUGAAGAUUUUACCAUUUUUGCCAAUGCCGUGCUAGAUAAUGGGGUCAAAAAAUAACAAGUGCGGCUGCCUGCAGAGUGAUCAGAUUAACCUUGUAACCAGUCCACCAGUCAUAUAAUUGUUCGUAAGUUACGUUUAAGGUGUUAAUCAAAAUGUUUAAUGUUAAAGAGGUUUACUUAUUAAAAACUUAAAUAACAUCUUAACUUCUAAAAUAAGACUGUACAGUUUUUAUUCCUAUAAAGGUUUAACUUGUAAUUCUAUUAUAUUGUAUUAUAAAUAGUAUUUUUAUAUUAAAAUGUCCUAAAUCAAUAUUAACAUGGAUUAUUACUAGAAUAAAUUGCAAACAUACAACCAAAACACAAUAAUUACAGUAACUUGACGUAUUAUUUUUUAUGAUGAAGUUUGAUGUCAGCUUUUUGCAAUGCCUUAUCUUGUAAACAAAUUCUAAUCAAGAACACAUUUACUCAGUAAUAGUCCAACUACGCAUUUAUCAUAUGAGAUAACUCAAUGUUACGUACUAUCAAACACAUUCUACGUAGUAAUAUGCAAUAAACUCAUUUAUGUCAUAAGAGAACAGUUUGCCAGUUAAACAGUUAAUUUUUCUGCAUUGUUUAGUCUUCCUAAUCCACUGUAGUUCAUGUCUACAGUAUUGUAGAGCAGCGUAUUGGGUUUUCUCUUGGUUACUCUGCUAGUAAUUUAUAUGUUUCAAUUCUCAAUAUUUGUCUCAGUUGGUUAUUAAUGUCACCUCCCUGUACUUGUAUGUAACCUAUCAGUUCUGAAUGUCUCAACUACUUUAUUUUUAUAUUAUAGGGCCUAUAUUAAUAAAUUCUUCUUUAUUUAUUCUAUACACGCUUUCAUGUACUUUUACCACUCUAAUUUUUCUAACUCUUUUCUUUAUUUUUUCUUAACACUUUUCUCUCUUCUAGGUCAAAUAUACAUCAGGUAAGAAUGUUUUUUUCUAUACUUUUCCGUCAGUGACCAAAUUUAUACAGUUCUUUGAACAGAAGGAAUGAAUAAAACUUGUAUAUUUAAAAUCUACAUUAAAAUUAUUUGAACAAUCUUGGAAUUAGCUACACAUGUGUUGUAAAUACAAAGCAUUAAAGCUAAACAUCAUCAGAAUCUACUUAGAAGUCAGUAUGCAAUAAAUUGCAAUAAAAUAAUUAAUAGCUGUCCUAUGUUUUAUGAUUGAUUUAAUUAUGAUUGUACCCACACUAGUGGUGGAGACAUGACCAAUAUUCUACAUGAUUACCAGUGAACUGACAAACUUUUCUCAGGAGACCAUUGAAGAAACAGUUCUGUAAUAUGUCAAACAUUACAUAAUAAACUGGGAGACAAGGAUUAUUUAAGAAUGAUAAUACCUAUCUAUUGAGUAACAUCUAUAAUAGACCAAAUAUUUGUAACAGUAACCCAGCAAACAUGCAAGACCGGUCUGUUUGUACAGAAACUGGUGGCUGGUCUUCUGUGGUAAAUUUCCAUUGCAACCCUAGCCUUGUUUGCCUGGCGACCUUUGCCUUUGUAGAUGAUUGUCUCAAGUUUGGAUUAAAUACACAUACAUGUGAGUCAGUGUGAUCAGCAGUCAAUUUAUGCACUCCUAACUGCAAUUUAUGUCCAAAAAUGUAACAUUACAAGUAUAAUGAUAACCCAUAAUAAGUUUUGGAUUAUCAGGGUUUCAUUAGGUGAAUUGCACAGUAAUGUUGUACAAUUGAACAGAAACAAUGAAGAGAUGUUGUAGCAAUUGCCAUAUACUUUUAAAUUAAUUUUACUACUUUAUUUUUGUUUAGAAAACAGUUCAAAGACGAGUCCUAUGUUUGUCUUUUUUCAACUGGUAAAAUAAGAAACAAUUUUUUUACCUGUUAUAGUUGUCCAAUUACAGAGAACUGUAAGCUUUCCUAAUCUUUUAAAAUUUUAAUGUUUAUUGCCAAAAUAUGUUCAAAAAUGUAUUUUAAUACAAAAAAGAUUUAGUGUGUUUAUCCUUCCAGCACCAAACUGUUUCUAAAUAUAUUUGAUCAAUUAAACUUUUCUAUUUGUAUUGUGUGAUUUGCUAACCAAUUCAAAUCUGAUGACUGGAAAUAGUUUUUUUUCUAUACAAAAUAAAAUAAAAAUUUAUUUUAUUUUCAUGUUUACAACUACUUUUGAAAUUCUUUGGACCUAAGAAACUAGAUACGAUUGACUCUCUACUAACACCUUAUUUUAAGUUGCUUUUUUAGAUAAAUAAUAAUAAUAAAAAAAACAUUAAAUGAAGAGAUGUCUUUAAAAUUAUAACUACACGAAAGAAAUUCAUGUCCAGUAAUAAUUCAAUUAGCUUUCUGUGAUCAAUUAUAUCAUCAAAAUUUCAAAAUUAUCAAAAUACUCAUAAGAGAGAAAUUUAGAAAGUUUGAUGUGUUUCAUGAGGUAAUAAACAGUUUAUUAUACUUUCCAUUAAUUUAUGACAUUUAAUAUUUUAGAACAGUAUUUUGAAACUGUCUAGUUAGUGAUUAGUAUUAGGUAGAUUUUUAAACAAUGUGACAGUUUCAUUACAAAUUUUAAGUUUUUUACUAAAUAUUUAAAUUUGAACAUGGUUGAAUUUUAUUGUUGAUUCAAGUAUGGCACAUUUACCUUUCAGUGGAUAUUUGUUUAUGAAGUAGAUUUUCUCUUUGUCGUCAUCAUAAUUGUUUAUCCGUAAGUCUUAAAGUCAGAUUUAUGGAUUCUUUACAGCACUAUUCAACCUGGAUGUUUAUCAGUUUUGCUUAACAAGGUAGUCCAACAAAUGUUUUGAUGACUAAAUAUUAUAAUUACUAUUCAGGACUUCAAAUAAGGUAAGGCAAUUUUUUAAAUAGUUAUACAUUUUAUUAACUACAUAAUCAAAGCAUGGUAAACUUCCUUUUUUUUACAACCACAACAAAUGUUUAUCACACUUUGUAAAAGUUGAUGGGAUGGGAUGAUAUGAGAUAGGAGGAAAGAAACCAAUAUCUUAAUGGAUGACAUGGUAGAGCUCAUAGAUACACCAAAGUUCAUGACCAUGGCUGUAGUAUCAGGAACCAUCAAGGUUGAUGCACCUGAUUAGAGUUGAAAUCAAUUAAAAGUCAACUGAUUUAUCAAUUGAUUUAAUAAAUUCUUGUUGUUUACACAUUAGUAUUAGUGCUGUGAUUAGAAAGUCGUAAAAAGUAAUAAAAAACAUUAGACUAUUCUUCAUCUAUACAAUUAAUGUAUGUUAAAUGUGGCGAAAAUAAUUCAUGGACAGAGCAUAUAGAAAAGUAAAGGCAAAUAUUGUUUUCCUAAAUUUUUGAAAUGGUGUCACUGACUUUAAAGACCAGUCACCAAAUAUUUAAUGAUGUUAUCUGUUUCUUUGUUACAUAAAAUAAAUUACAAAAGCCUCUGAGAUUUUCCUACGAUAUUCCAUUGAAAAAAAUUACAUAAGCAGACAAGGAAAACUGAAGGUCCAUAUUGACAACUAUUUUAGUUAUGAAACACAAGAGUAGAUAAGCUAUAUGGUUUUCACUUCUAAAAAUACCAAGGUUAGAUAAUUAUAAUCAUUGAAUGAUUGUUGUCUGGGAGUAAUUUUUAACACAAUACUAUACUAACAGGUAUAUGUCGUAUAAAAACACUUAUAAUGUUGUUAAUAAUGGUAUGUUUUUAAGUAUGAUAAAUAAAAAUAGGUAAAUGUAAAUAAACUUGUGUAGGAUAAUUGAUAUCCUGCACAUUCCUUUUAUUAUUUAAUGUUGAAGAACGGUUAGAUUUAUCAUUAAUAAAAAAACAAAUUAAUCGAGUAAAUUGAGGUACCAAAUCAUUAGGUAUUAGUCUGAUUUAUAAUUAUUACUAUUAGGUCUCUCACACUUGUUGAGACAUGAACUUAGAUAAAUUUAAUAUAUAAGAUCUCUCUUAUUUUGUUCAUAGUGUUAAUAUCUGUGAAAUAAAUAGUAGAAUAGCUCAGCCAUCACUCCAGUAUAUACCACUUUCCACAAGUACCAUCGACAGAGGUGUGCAAAGGUCGUUCCAGUCUCGGAACUGUCGCACCGAUUCUGUUGUAAGGGAAUGCCUUUUUGUAACGUUGUGUCACAUGUAUAGGAUUUUCGUCAUUGCAACAUAAAUAAGUCAAAAGAUGUUCCAAUUAAUAAUCAGUAGUGGUAAUUCUAAUGUUUUUACAAACAAUAUACAACAUUUAUUUAGUCUUGUUUGGGCUGAAUAUUACAAACUACAUCAAGUACAGGCUUAUCAAAUAUAUUGAUGUAUAGUUUUAUUAAUAUCAAAAUUAUUAAUAUUUAUAAUUAAUCACAUAAAAUAGAAAAGUUUUUGAAACAUUUUUUGAAAACUAGAGAUUAAAAUUGGGGAUAAAUAAAAAUUGUAAAAACAUUUUCACAUAUUAAAACCUGCUGAAUCCAGCUAUAGUAUAAAAGAUUGAAGGGAGGGGGAGAAAGGUGACAAUAAUAAAUGUAGCCUGUCUGGACUCGUUGCAGUGUUUAGUGCCACUAUUAUCUCAUCGUUUCAGUUCUUGUCCCAGUACCAGUCCAGGCAUUCUUUACAAUGGCCAGGCUGUAGUUACAGUUCCAGUGAAUAUUUUACUUUUUUGUGACCACGAGAGGCAGUUUCAGUUAUGACCCAAGUCUAACCAUUGUCUACAAGUCAAUUUUGCACAGAAAUAACUGAUGAACAUGUUACUGUGUCAAACGCCAUUCUGCGCAAGGCAUUCUUUACAAUGGCCAGGCUGUAGUUACAGUUCCAGUGAAUAUUUUACUUUUUUGUGACCACGAGAGGCAGUUUCAGUUAUGACCCAAGUCUAACCAUUGUCUACAAGUCAAUUUUGCACAGAAAUAACUGAUGAACAUGUUACUGUGUCAAACGCCAUUCUGCGCAAGGCAUUCUUUACAAUGACCAGGCUGUAGUUACAGUUCCAGUGAAUAUUUUACUUUUUUGUGACCACGAGAGGCAGUUUCAGUUAUGGCCCACUUCUAACCAUUGUCUACAAGUCAAUUUUGCACAGAAAUAACUGAUGAACAUGUUACUGUGUCAAACGCCAUUCUGCGCAAGGCAUUCUUUACAAUGGCCAGGCUGUAGUUACAGUUCCAGUGAAAUAUUUUACUUUUUUGUGACCACGAGAGGCAGUUUCAGUUAUGACCCAAGUCUAACCAUUGUCUACAAGUCAAUUUUGCACAGAAAUAACUGAUGAACAUGUUACUGUGUCAAACGCCAUUCUGCGCAAGGCAUUCUUUACAAUGGCCAGGCUGUAGUUACAGUUCCAGUAAAAUAUUUUACUUUUUUGUGACCACGAGAGGCAGUUUCAGUUAUGACCCAAGUCUAACCAUUGUCUACAAGUCAAUUUUGCACAGAAAUAACUGAUGAACAUGUUACUGUGUCAAACGCCAUUCUGCGCAAGGCAUUCUUUACAAUGGCCAGGCUGUAGUUACAGUUCCAGUGAAUAUUUUACUUUUUUGUGACCACGAGAGGCAGUUUCAGUUAUGACCCACUUCUAACCAUUGUCUACAAGUCAAUUUUGCACAGAAAUAACUGAUGAACAUGUUACUGUGUCAAACGCCAUUCUGCGCAAGGCAUUCUUUACCAGGCUGUAGUUACAGUUCCAGUGAAUAUUUUACUUUUUUGUGACCAUGAGAGGCAGUUUCAGUUAUGACCCAAGUCUAACCAUUGUCUACAAGUCAAUUUUGCACAGAAAUAACUGAUGAACAUGUUACUGUGUCAAACGCCAUUCUGCGCAAGGCAUUCUUUACCAGGCUGUAGUUACAGUUCCAGUGAAUAUUUUACUUUUUUGUGACCAUGAGAGGCAGUUUCAGUUAUGACCCACUUCUAACCAUUGUCUACAAGUCAAUUUUGCACAGAAAUAACUGAUGAACAUGUUACUGUGUCAAACGCCAUUCUGCGCAAGGCAUUCUUUACAAUGGCCAGGCUGUAGUUACAGUUCCAGUGAAUAUUUUACUUUUUUGUGACCAUGAGAGGCAGUUUCAGUUAUGACCCAAGUCUAACCAUUGUCUACAAGUCAAUUUUGCACAGAAAUAACUGAUGAACAUGUUACUGUGUCAAACGCCAUUCUGCGCAAGGCAUUCUUUACAAUGGCCAGGCUGUAGUUACAGUUCCAGUGAAUAUUUUACUUUUUUGUGACCAUGAGAGGCAGUUUCAGUUAUGACCCAAGUCUAACCAUUGUCUACAAGUCAAUUUUGCACAGAAAUAACUGAUGAACAUGUUACUGUGUCAAACGCCAUUCUGCGCAAGGCAUUCUUUACAAUGGCCAGGCUGUAGUUACAGUUCCAGUGAAUAUUUUACUUUUUUGUGACCAUGAGAGGCAGUUUCAGUUAUGACCCAAGUCUAACCAUUGUCUACAAGUCAAUUUUGCACAGAAAUAACUGAUGAACAUGUUACUGUGUCAAACGCCAUUCUGCGCAAGGCAUUCUUUACAAUGGCCAGGCUGUAGUUACAGUUCCAGUGAAUAUUUUACUUUUUUGUGACCAUGAGAGGCAGUUUCAGUUAUGACCCAAGUCUAACCAUUGUCUACAAGUCAAUUUUGCACAGAAAUAACUGAUGAACAUGUUACUGUGUCAAACGCCAUUCUGCGCAAGGCAUUCUUUACAAUGGCCAGGCUGUAGUUACAGUUCCAGUGAAUAUUUUACUUUUUUGUGACCAUGAGAGGCAGUUUCAGUUAUGACCCAAGUCUAACCAUUGUCUACAAGUCAAUUUUGCACAGAAAUAACUGAUGAACAUGUUACUGUGUCAAACGCCAUUCUGCGCAAGGCAUUCUUUACAAUGGCCAGGCUGUAGUUACAGUUCCAGUGAAUAUUUUACUUUUUUGUGACCACGAGAGGCAGUUUCAGUUAUGACCCAAGUCUAACCAUUGUCUACAAGUCAAUUUUGCACAGAAAUAACUGAUGAACAUGUUACUGUGUCAAACGCCAUUCUGCGCAAGGCAUUCUUUACAAUGGCCAGGCUGUAGUUACAGUUCCAGUAAAAUAUUUUACUUUUUUGUGAUCACGAGAGGCAGUUUCAGUUAUGACCCAAGUCUAACCAUUGUCUACAAGUCAAUUUUUCACAGAAAUAACUGAUGAACAUGUUACUGUGUCAAACGCCAUUCUGCGCAAGGCAUUCUUUACAAUGGCCAGGCUGUAGUUACAGUUCCAGUGAAUAUUUUACUUUUUUGUGACCACGAGAGGCAGUUUCAGUAAAUGAGCCACUUCUAACCAUUGUCUACAAGUCAAUUUUGCACAGAAAUAACUGAUGAACAUGUUACUGUGUCAAACGCCAUUCUGCGCAAGGCAUUCUUUACAAUGGCCAGGCUGUAGUUACAGUUCCAGUGAAUAUUUUACUUUUUUGUGACCACGAGAGGCAGUUUCAGUAAAUGAGCCACUUCUAACCAUUGUCUACAAGUCAAUUUUGCACAGAAAUAACUGAUGAACAUGUUACUGUGUCAAACGCCAUUCUGCGCUUGCUGUUUUGUUGUAACCAGUGAAUAGGUUAGGUGAACGUCAAUUAGAGAUCAAAUGAGAUUAUGUCAAAUUGAACGGGAAGUGAAAAAGUUGCUUCAUGUAGAAAUGUACAACUGCCAGUUAUAUUCAUGAAAAAGGAACAUGUUACUUCAAAAGAAAAUUGUUUAAAAAUCCUACUUUCGUGCUUUUGUUUUACGUAUUAACAAAAUUUAAGAACUUUUGUUCAAUUUGAGGAAUUAUUAGUUUUUGUGAGACCAUCUCUAUUAUCCUUCAAGUAUAUUAAAAAAUGGGCUGCACUUCUAGGAGUGGCCCAUUGAGUUCCAUAUUGUGGGAACUAGUGGUUAUUUAUGUCCCAUUAAGUUAUAUUUAAAAUAGAUUUCAUAGAAAUAUUCCAAUUGCAAUCACCCAAUCUGACACAAAAACCACCCCCAUUCAAAAAUAUAUUUGAUAUAUUUGUAGGCUCAUGAAAUGUAGUCCAGGCUUUUAAAGAUCAUAACUGCUUUCAUUUCUAAAUAUUUAAAUAAAACUGAAUGUGGGAUGGAAGUUACACAUGCCUUGGAGAAGUUUCUUAGCCAGAUUUUUUGAGACUAUUACCUACACAAUAAAAACUGAAAAUAUUAACUGUCUAAGUUUCUUCCAACAGUUUUAUUACUGUAAUAAGUACUUUUAUUACUGAACAUAGUUUAUAUAAUUCUAUUAAGGCUUAAAAUGUUGGAUGCUCGUGUUUUGAAAGGGAAUAUUUAUACUUCAGCUAUUUGUAUCUUGGAGAGAAGCUGAAAAGUUAAAAAAGCUGAAAUAUAAGAAAAAUUAGCAGCAAUACAUGUUAACAUAAUCACUACCAUAAUUUCUGACAGAUUACAAUGAAACCUGUCACAGUUAUGUAUUAAACACUCGUCUUGAACGAUUUUGUGAACCAUAUGCGUUCAGUGGGUAAUAUGGCAGCUUAUUGUAUUAAAGUGUGAACUAUUAAUUAUCUUACAAAACAGAUAACUUAAUUUAACUAUCUAAAAUUAUGGGGAUUCACAGUAAAAAUUGUUUACCUAAUUAUGAACCCACAUAGGGCAAGACAUUUAUAGGGACCGCUUUGUGAUGCUAUUUAGAUAUUUGUGAGUUUCAAUGUUGUGGGUCUUCUUAUUAUAUAUAUAUAUAUAUAUAUAUAUAUAUAAAAAUUUGUCAGCAAUAAAAUUACUUAUAGUAACAACUACAUUAAAAAAUUACCCUAAAACUAUGAGGCAUCUUCAAUUUGAUAAUUAUAGAGUGAUAACAACUUAUGAAAUUUAUCUGUUUUCAACAGUGCACGAGGAUAUUUUAUGUUAUCAGUAAAAAUGCUGAUGAUUACAAAUUUUCUGAGUAAUCGUAUGGAAUAUUAAAUAAUAAAUUCGUCAAAGUAAUGUUUCAGAGUCAAUUAAAGUUAUAACAUUCUUAGUGUUAUCAUUAUAAUGUAGUUCUGUUGCUUGGUAAAAAAUAUAGAGCAACUUCAGAACCCUAUUUAAAAAGGGAUGUACUUUGACCCUUACAAAAUCCUGGAGAUGGCAAAUAGUUAGUGUCCCCAUUGUGGGUUUGUAUAGUGGGGGGGAUGGAAAUUUCCCACUGGGGAGCCUGGCCUCAGCUGUCUGACAGUAUUCUGCUUGUCAGUUUUGCCUUUUCUGUGAAAGAGUGCACAUCUCCUCCCAGUGCUUGGUGUUGGUUUGCUUUAUUAAAGUUGCUGCAUUCACACUGAACUCAUCAUGGCUUCGAAGAUCCGCAAUUACAACACCAUCAACAACAAUUUAGAGGGCGUAACAUGCAAUCUGAAUGUUCACACGGGUAGGAAGAUGAAAGAGGAAAGACAGCCACUGUUGGUUUGGUUACUUUAUGUCUCUAGCAGUAAUAAUGAUAUCUUGCUCCACCGUAUCGGUGGGUUGAGGACUGUACUGACAAACGUUUGUUGUG
Molecule: long non-coding RNA, 9740 nt
Organism: Homalodisca vitripennis (glassy-winged sharpshooter)
Lineage: Eukaryota; Metazoa; Arthropoda; Insecta; Hemiptera; Cicadellidae
Exons: 3
Source: RefSeq, a predicted model, not a curated record